GACGAACGCUGGCGGCGUGCUUAACACAUGCAAGUCGAACGGAAAGGCCCUGCUUUUGUGGGGUGCUCGAGUGGCGAACGGGUGAGUAACACGUGAGUAACCUGCCCUUGACUUUGGGAUAACUUCAGGAAACUGGGGCUAAUACCGGAUAGGAGCUCCUGCUGCAUGGUGGGGGUUGGAAAGUUUCGGCGGUUGGGGAUGGACUCGCGGCUUAUCAGCUUGUUGGUGGGGUAGUGGCUUACCAAGGCUUUGACGGGUAGCCGGCCUGAGAGGGUGACCGGCCACAUUGGGACUGAGAUACGGCCCAGACUCCUACGGGAGGCAGCAGUGGGGAAUAUUGCACAGUGGGCGGAAGCCUGAUGCAGAAACGCCGCGUGCGGGAUGACGGCCUUCGGGUUGUAAACCGCUUUCGCCUGUGACGAAGCGUGAGUGACGGUAAUGGGUAAAGAAGCACCGGCUAACUACGUG
This 468-nucleotide ribosomal RNA is filed under the name uncultured bacterium. RNAcentral's name for it is "partial 16S ribosomal RNA". It matches the Rfam family "Bacterial small subunit ribosomal RNA", at positions 28 to 507 of the family's 1533-position model. The record is from RNAcentral.